Molecule: ribosomal RNA, 505 nt
Filed under: Eurytoma verticillata
Lineage: Eukaryota; Metazoa; Arthropoda; Insecta; Hymenoptera; Eurytomidae
Description: partial 16S ribosomal RNA
Source: RNAcentral
GACAGACUUAAAUACUUUAACUUCUACAUUAAAAUUUAUCUUAAUUCAACAUCGAGGUCGCAAUCCUUUUUAUCAAUAUGAUCUCUUAAAAAAAAUAACGCUGUUAUCCCUAAAGUAAUUUAAUUUAAUUUCACUAAUAAUGGAUUUUUAAUUCAUAAAUAUAUGUAACUAAAUUAAAAAAAUUUAUUAAAUUUUUUUGUCACCCCAACAAAAUAUUAAUAAAUUAAAUAAUCUUAUAAAAUUUAAAAAUUAUUUAAAUAUUAAUAUAAAAUUUUAUAGGGUCUUCUCGUCUUUUAAUUACAUUUUAGAAUUUUAACUAAACAUAAAAUUCAAUCAACUUUAAUUUGAGACAGAUUUUAUUUCAUUCAAUCCUUCAUUCAAGACUUAAAUAAUAAGACAAAUGAUUAUGCUACCUUUGUACAGUUAAAAUACUGCAGCUAUUUAAAUAUUCCAUUGAGCAGAUCAGAUUUUAAAUUAUAAUCAAAAAACCAUGUUUUUGAUAAAC